CACAUCACUCCUAAGCACAAGAAAUCUAUAUGCAACACAAUGAAAAGUAUAAACAAUAAAUAUGCAAUCAAUAGUUUUAGAAUCUAAUUUUUAUUUCUUUGGAUCAGGCAAUAUCAACUUAGCAAAACACCCCACACUUUCAAAUAUUUUAUAUUAGGUGCAUAUCGUUUCUACAAUUCAUAAGGGGUUUUUUCCCAUUUUCUUAUAGGAAAUUCUAUUUUGUAUAUAACAAGCUGAUAGAAUUGCUUCCCCCCACA
RNAcentral lists this long non-coding RNA (257 nucleotides) under Elaeis guineensis (African oil palm). RNAcentral's name for it is "long non-coding RNA (EGUI_LNC014973)". The record is from RNAcentral. Lineage: Eukaryota; Viridiplantae; Streptophyta; Magnoliopsida; Arecales; Arecaceae.